Molecule: ribosomal RNA, 465 nt
Filed under: Vreelandella stevensii
Lineage: Bacteria; Pseudomonadati; Pseudomonadota; Gammaproteobacteria; Oceanospirillales; Halomonadaceae
Description: partial 16S ribosomal RNA
Rfam family: Bacterial small subunit ribosomal RNA
Source: RNAcentral
CCUACGGGCGGCAGCAGUGGGGAAUAUUGGACAAUGGGCGAAAGCCUGAUCCAGCCAUGCCGCGUGUGUGAAGAAGGCCUUCGGGUUGUAAAGCACUUUCAGUGGGGAAGAAAGCCUUGGGGCUAAUACCCUCGAGGAAGGACAUCACCCACAGAAGAAGCACCGGCUAACUCCGUGCCAGCAGCCGCGGUAAUACGGAGGGUGCGAGCGUUAAUCGGAAUUACUGGGCGUAAAGCGCGCGUAGGCGGUCUGAUAAGCCGGUUGUGAAAGCCCCGGGCUCAACCUGGGAACGGCAUCCGGAACUGUCAGGCUAGAGUGCAGGAGAGGAAGGUAGAAUUCCCGGUGGAGCGGUGAAAUGCGUAGAGAUCGGGAGGAAUACCAGUGGCGAAGGCGGCCUUCUGGACUGACACUGACGCUGAGGUGCGAAAGCGUGGGUAGCAAACAGGAUUAGAUACCCGUGUAGUC